GUCAUUAAUAGAUUUAUUAACGCAAGACAGUUGAGAAUCUCCCUUUUGUGACAAUUAAAAAUUAUUUAGAAGCAUUGUCAACAAUCAGCGUUGCGUGGCAUUAGUCGAAACGUUUGUGAGAUGAUGUGGAAUAGGUUAAUCGUAAGACCUUAGUUUGUAAAAACUUAAAAUUGAUCUAUUAAAUGUUAGUUUCUGAAUUUUCGUAUUUGAUAGUUACGGUAAU
RNAcentral lists this non-coding RNA (223 nucleotides) under unclassified sequences. RNAcentral's name for it is "IS605-orfB-I RNA". It matches the Rfam family "IS605-orfB-I RNA". The record is from Rfam by way of RNAcentral.